RNAcentral lists this small RNA (1179 nucleotides) under uncultured bacterium. RNAcentral describes it as "bacterial SSU rRNA". The stretch from base 1 to 489 matches the Rfam family "Bacterial small subunit ribosomal RNA", at positions 1045 to 1533 of the family's 1533-position model. The record is from RNAcentral.
AUGGCUGUCGUCAGCUCGUGUCGUGAGAUGUUGGGUUAAGUCCCGCAACGAGCGCAACCCCUACCCUUAAUUGCCAUCGGGUUAUGCCGGGCACUUUAGGGGGACUGCCGGUGACAAGCCGGAGGAGGGUGGGGAUGACGUCAAGUCCUCAUGGCCUUUAUGACCAGGGCUACACACGUGUUACAAUGGGAGUUACAGAGGGAAGCUAAGCCGCGAGGCCAUGCCAAUCCCAAAAAAACUUUCUCAGUUCGGAUCGCAGUCUGCAACUCGACUGCGUGAAGCUGGAAUCGCUAGUAAUCGCGGAUCAGCACGCCGCGGUGAAUACGUUCCCGGGCCUUGUACACACCGCCCGUCACACCAUGGGAGCCGACAAGGGCAGAAGUCGCCGAGCUAACCUUCGGGAAGCAGGCGCCCAAGCUGUUGUUGACGACUGGGGUGAAGUCGUAACAAGGUAGCCGUAGGAGAACCUGCGGCUGGAUCACCUCCUUUCUAAGGACGCCAGAGAUGCUUUAUGCUUAUCUCUGGAUAGUCAAAGUCGAAACAGACUCUCUUCUCUUCUCUCCCUUUUCUCCUGUAAAUUCUAAGUUAUGAAUUUAGAGCAACGAAGGAAUUAGAUUCGUUACUGUGGACUCCCAACUUCAAGAGGGGCCUGUAGCUCAGCUUGGUUAGAGCGCAUCCCUGAUAAGGAUGAGGCCGGUGGUUCAAGUCCACCCAGGCCCACCAGCUCAUUUUUGAUUUGGAUUUGGCGACUAUAAUGGUAGCAAAUCUAAGGCAUGGUAAUCCAAAUCAGAUAUUAAAGAUCGGGGGAUUAGCUCAGCUGGUAGAGCGCCUGCUUUGCAAGCAGGAGGUCAGCGGUUCGAACCCGCUAUCCUCCACCAAAUUAAUGAACAGUAAAAAAGGUGGUGUAGCUUAAGCAGAAGAUAAGCUUCAGCAAUUAUUUAAUAAUUUCUGAAUCUUAUUUUUUAAUAUCUUAGACAAUUGAAUCGGAGGUUUUGGAGACACAAGAUCAAAUGUGAGGGUCUCCAAGGGUUGACGAUCUUGACUGUUAAAGUCAGGUAGUAAGGGCGCAGGGCGGAUGCCUUGGCUCUGGGAAGCGAAGAAGGACGUGGCCAGCUGCGAUAAGCCUCGGGGAAGAGCAAACAUCUUUUGAUCCGGGGAUUUCCGAAUGGGGAAACCCGG